Molecule: ribosomal RNA, 363 nt
Filed under: uncultured bacterium
Lineage: Bacteria
Description: bacterial SSU rRNA
Rfam family: Bacterial small subunit ribosomal RNA
Source: RNAcentral
AACGAACGCUGGCGGCAGGCCUAACACAUGCAAGUCGAACGCCCUAGCAAUAGGGAGUGGCAGACGGGUGAGUAACGCGUGGGAACCUUCCUUAUGGUGCGGAAUAACUCGCCGAAAGGCGUGCUAAUACCGCAUAAGCCCGCAAGGGGAAAGAUUUAUCGCCAUAAGAUGGGCCCGCGUAGGAUUAGCUAGUUGGCGGGGUAACGGCCCACCAAGGCUACGAUCCUUAGCUGGUUUGAGAGAANGACCAGCCACACUGGGACUGAGACACGGCCCAGACUCCUACGGGAGGCAGCAGUGGGGAAUCUUGCGCAAUGGGCGAAAGCCUGACGCAGCGACGCCGCGUGAGGGAUGACGGCCUGG